GAUGAACGCUGGCGGCGUGCCUAAUACAUGCAAGUCGAGCGAACAGACGAGGAGCUUGCUCCUCUGACGUUAGCGGCGGACGGGUGAGUAACACGUGGAUAACCUACCUAUAAGACUGGGAUAACUUCGGGAAACCGGAGCUAAUACCGGAUAACAUGUUGAACCGCAUGGUUCAACAGUGAAAGACGGUUUUGCUGUCACUUAUAGAUGGAUCCGCGUCGCAUUAGCUAGUUGGUAAGGUAACGGCUUACCAAGGCAAUGAUGCGUAGCCGACCUGAGAGGGUGAUCGGCCACACUGGAACUGAGACACGGUCCAGACUCCUACGGGAGGCAGCAGUAGGGAAUCUUCCGCAAUGGGCGAAAGCCUGACGGAGCAACGCCGCGUGAGUGAAGAAGGUCUUCGGAUCGUAAAACUCUGUUAUUAGGGAAGAACAAAUGUGUAAGUAACUAUGCACGUCUUGACGGUACCUAAUCAGAAAGCCACGGCUAACUACGUG
This 497-nucleotide ribosomal RNA is filed under the name uncultured bacterium. Its description in RNAcentral is "partial 16S ribosomal RNA". It matches the Rfam family "Bacterial small subunit ribosomal RNA", at positions 28 to 507 of the family's 1533-position model. The record is from RNAcentral.